GAUGAACGCUGGCGGCGUGCCUAAUACAUGCAAGUCGAGCGAACAGACGAGGAGCUUGCUCCUCUGACGUUAGCGGCGGACGGGUGAGUAACACGUGGAUAACCUACCUAUAAGACUGGGAUAACUUCGGGAAACCGGAGCUAAUACCGGAUAAUAUAUUGAACCGCAUGGUUCAAUAGUGAAAGACGGUUUUGCUGUCACUUAUAGAUGGAUCCGCGCCGCAUUAGCUAGUUGGUAAGGUAACGGCUUACCAAGGCGACGAUGCGUAGCCGACCUGAGAGGGUGAUCGGCCACACUGGAACUGAGACACGGUCCAGACUCCUACGGGAGGCAGCAGUGGGGAAUCUUCCGCAAUGGGCGAAAGCCUGACGGAGCAACGCCGCGUGAGUGAUGAAGGUCUUCGGAUCGUAAAACUCUGUUAGUAGGGAAGAACAAAUGUGUAAGUAACUAUGCACGUCUUGACGGUACCUAAUCAGAAAGCCACGGCUAACUACGUG
RNAcentral lists this ribosomal RNA (497 nucleotides) under uncultured bacterium. RNAcentral's name for it is "partial 16S ribosomal RNA". It matches the Rfam family "Bacterial small subunit ribosomal RNA", at positions 28 to 507 of the family's 1533-position model. The record is from RNAcentral.